Molecule: ribosomal RNA, 776 nt
Filed under: uncultured Neocallimastigales
Lineage: Eukaryota; Fungi; Neocallimastigomycota; Neocallimastigomycetes; Neocallimastigales
Description: partial large subunit ribosomal RNA
Rfam family: Eukaryotic large subunit ribosomal RNA
Source: RNAcentral
UAUGUGAUCGUCUCUCGCAUAUCAAUAAGCGGAGGAAAAGAAACUAACAAGGAUUCCCCUAGUAACGGCGAGUGAAGCGGGAAGAGCUCAAAUUUGAAAUCUUAAAGGGUUUCCCCUUACGAAUUGUAGUUUAAAGAAGUGUUUUCUGUUGAGGUUUUGGUAAAGGUUCUUUGGAAUAGGACAUCAUAGAGGGUGAGAAUCCCGUAUUUGACCUUUACUUUCAACUUUGUGAUACACUUUCAAAGAGUCGGAUUGUUUGGGAAUGCAGUCCAAAAUGGGUGGUAAAUUUCAUCUAAAGCUAAAUAUUGGCGAGAGACCGAUAGCGAACAAGGUACCGUGAGGGAAAGAUGAAAAGAACUUUGAAAAGAGAGUUAAACAGUACGUGAAAUUGUCAAAAGGGAAGCGUUUGACACCAGUGUUGUUUUUCUGAAAAUCAAUUAAAGAACUGUUUAUGCUAAGUUGUUUAGACUUUAUCAGCUAAUCUGUUUAGUUUUGAGCUUUUCUUUAAUGCACUUUUCAGUUAACAAGUCAACAUCAAUUUCUUUUGCUGUAAAAAAGCUUGAGGAAGGUGGCUUGAGAUUCGUCUUAAGUGUUUAUAGCCUCUUGCCUAUGCAGUCGGAGAGAUUGAGGUCUGCAGCGUAGAUCCUUCGGGGCUAAAUGCAUUUGUGCUAAGUUAUAGCAUUUUAUAGACAACUUGUUGACUAUGAUUUGUCUUGUAGCUUACUCGCUUAUGUUAUUUUACCUACGCUUAGGAUGUUGAGUAGCGACAUACGCAC